This 253-nucleotide ribosomal RNA is filed under the name uncultured bacterium. RNAcentral describes it as "partial 16S ribosomal RNA". It matches the Rfam family "Bacterial small subunit ribosomal RNA", at positions 524 to 776 of the family's 1533-position model. The record is from RNAcentral.
UACGUAGGGCGCAAGCGUUAUCCGGCAUUAUUGGGCGUAAAGAGCUCGUAGGCGGUUUGUCGCGUCUGCCGUGAAGGUCCGGGGCUCAACUCCGGAUCUGCGGUGGGUACGGGCAGACUAGAGUGAUGUAGGGGAGACUGGAAUUCCUGGUGUAGCGGUGAAAUGCGCAGAUAUCAGGAGGAACACCGGUGGCGAAGGCGGCAUCCUGGACCGACACUGACGCUGAGGAGCGAAAGCCAGGGGAGCAAACGGG